UGGGGAAUAUUGCACAAUGGGCGCAAGCCUGAUGCAGCCAUGCCGCGUGUAUGAAGAAGGCCUUCGGGUUGUAAAGUACUUUCAGCGGGGAGGAAGGCGAUAAGGUUAAUAACCUUGUCGAUUGACGUUACCCGCAGAAGAAGCACCGGCUAACUCCGUGCCAGCAGCCGCGGUACUACGGAGGGUGCAAGCGUUAAUAGGAAUUACUGGGCGUAAAGCGCACGCAGGCGGUCUGUCAAGUCGGAUGUGAAAUCCCCGGGCUCAACCUGGGAACUGCAUUCGAAACUGGCAGGCUAGAGUCUUGUAGAGGGGGGUAGAAUUCCAGGUGUAGCGGUGAAAUGCGUAGAGAUCUGGAGGAAUACCGGUGGCGAAGGCGGCCCCCUGGACAAAGACUGACGCUCAGGUGCGAAAGCGUGGGGAGCAAACA
This 427-nucleotide ribosomal RNA is filed under the name uncultured bacterium. RNAcentral describes it as "partial 16S ribosomal RNA". It matches the Rfam family "Bacterial small subunit ribosomal RNA", at positions 355 to 774 of the family's 1533-position model. The record is from RNAcentral.